Molecule: non-coding RNA, 583 nt
Organism: Sturnus vulgaris (Common starling)
Lineage: Eukaryota; Metazoa; Chordata; Aves; Passeriformes; Sturnidae
Source: RefSeq, a predicted model, not a curated record
UCCCACCUGGCUGCUUCCCCUGCUCCCAUCCCUGCGUGUGCUCUGGGAGGACUGGCAGAGGUGUUGGGAUGUUUGGGGAGCAGGAACCAUCCUGCUGGAGCUGCCAGCCCUGCAGGAGCUCCAGGACCCCCCUCCCAUCCCGGGGAGCUGCUGUCCCACCCAACCCCAUCCCCAGGGCUCUGCCAGCUGCCAAGAUCAGGCCUUAAAACAGGAGUUAAACCAGGCCUUAAACCAGCUUUAAUUUGGAGUUAAACCUGCCUUAAACCAGGCCUGCCCCUGGGGUCUCCCUCAGCCAGGGCUUGGUGGUGGGACCUGCAGUGCCAACAGGAAAAGAGAUCUGGACCACGAGGCCCUGCCUCCUCCAGGCUCAGCUCUAAUUCCCAAAUGUGUUCGUUUCUAACCCCUAGGAUUAAUUACUGCUCAAUUAACAGGGUUUGCAGGUGGCUGGAGGCCUGGCAGGGCUGCUGUGCUGAGCACUGGGGGUUGGGGUCAGUGGUGACUCUGACAGGGCAGGGAGUGGCUGCAAUUCCUGUGGAUCCUGGCUCAGCUAGAAAAAUGUGCAAUAAAAUAAUUUUCAAGCCUC